GGCUCAGACGAACGCUGGCGGCGUGCUUAACACAUGCAAGUCGAACGCGAAAGGGACUUCGGUCCUGAGUAAAGUGGCGCACGGGUGAGUAACGCGUAGAUAACCUGUCUUCAUGUCUGGAAUAAUACGCCGAAAGGGGUACUAAUACCGGAUAUUCUUGCUUUUCAUAAGUUAUGCAAGCAAAGGUGGCCUCUGCAUAUGCUACUGCAUGAAGAGGGGUCUGCGUACCAUUAGCUAGUAGGUGGGGUAAUGGCCUACCUAGGCGACGAUGGUUAGCGGGUCUGAGAGGAUGAUCCGCCACACUGGCACCGGAACACGGGCCAGACUCCUACGGGAGGCAGCAGUGAGGAAUAUUGCGCAAUGGGGGAAACCCUGACGCAGCGACGCCGCGUGAGUGAGGAAGGCCUUCGGGUCGUAAAGCUCUGUCAAGAGGAAAGAAGUGUACAAUGGCUAAUACCUGUUGUAUUUGACGGUACCUCUAAAGGAAGCACCGGCUAACUCCGUGCCAGCCGCCGC
This 516-nucleotide ribosomal RNA is filed under the name uncultured bacterium. RNAcentral's name for it is "bacterial SSU rRNA". It matches the Rfam family "Bacterial small subunit ribosomal RNA", at positions 21 to 518 of the family's 1533-position model. The record is from RNAcentral.